GCUUCCGUAGCUCAGUUGGCCAGAGCGUUGGUCUCAUAUUUCUAUGAUCAAGCGUUUUAACGCCUGAGUAAUCCAAAGGUCGUGAGUUCGAGCCUCCCCGGGAGCA
Hirsutella rhossiliensis is the source of this 106-nucleotide non-coding RNA. Lineage: Eukaryota; Fungi; Ascomycota; Sordariomycetes; Hypocreales; Ophiocordycipitaceae. The record is from the annotation of a RefSeq genome assembly.